RNAcentral lists this ribosomal RNA (465 nucleotides) under uncultured bacterium. Its description in RNAcentral is "partial 16S ribosomal RNA". It matches the Rfam family "Bacterial small subunit ribosomal RNA", at positions 28 to 507 of the family's 1533-position model. The record is from RNAcentral.
GACGAACGCUGGCGGCGUGCUUAACACAUGCAAGUCGAACGGAAAGGCCCCUUUGGGGGUACUCGAGUGGCGAACGGGUGAGUAACACGUGAGUAACCUGCCCUUGACUUCGGGAUAACUUCAGGAAACUGGGGCUAAUACCGGAUAGGAAUCCUUGCUGCAUGGUGGGGGUUGGAAAGCUUCGGCGGUUUUGGAUGGACUCGCGGCUUAUCAGCUUGUUGGUGGGGUAGUGGCUUACCAAGGCUUUGACGGGUAGCCGGCCUGAGAGGGCGACCGGCCACAUUGGGACUGAGAUACGGCCCAGACUCCUACGGGAGGCAGCAGUGGGGAAGAUUGCACAAUGGGCGGAAGCCUGAUGCAGCAACGCCGCGUGCGGGAUGACGGCCUUCGGGUUGGAAACCGCUUUCAGCAGGGGCGAAGCUUGUGGUGACGGUACCUACAGAAGAAGCACCGGCUAACUACGUG